UACGAAGGGGGCUAGCGUUGUUCGGAAUUACUGGGCGUAAAGCGCACGUAGGCGGGUUGUUAAGUCAGGGGUGAAAUCCUGGAGCUCAACUCCAGAACUGCCUUUGAUACUGGCGAUCUUGAGUUCGGGAGAGGUGAGUGGAACUGCGAGUGUAGAGGUGAAAUUCGUAGAUAUUCGCAAGAACACCAGUGGCGAAGGCGGCUCACUGGCCCGAUACUGACGCUGAGGUGCGAAAGCGUGGGGAGCAAACAGG
Molecule: ribosomal RNA, 253 nt
Filed under: uncultured bacterium
Lineage: Bacteria
Description: partial 16S ribosomal RNA
Rfam family: Bacterial small subunit ribosomal RNA
Source: RNAcentral